RNAcentral lists this ribosomal RNA (301 nucleotides) under uncultured bacterium. RNAcentral's name for it is "partial 16S ribosomal RNA". It matches the Rfam family "Bacterial small subunit ribosomal RNA", at positions 509 to 807 of the family's 1533-position model. The record is from RNAcentral.
CAGUCGCCGCGGGAAUACAGAGGGUGCGAGCGUUAAUCGGAUUUACUGGGCGUAAAGCGUGCGUAGGCGGCUUCUUAAGUCGGAUGUGAAAUCCCUGAGCUUAACUUAGGAAUUGCAUUCGAUACUGGGAAGCUAGAGUAUGGGAGAGGAUGGUAAAAUUCCAGGUGUAGCGGUGAAAUGCGUAGAGAUCUGGAGGAAUACCGAUGGCGAAGGCAGCCAUCUGGCCUAAUACUGACGCUGAGGUACGAAAGCAUGGGGAGCAAACAGGAUUAGAUACCCGGGUAGUCCCUGUCUCUUAUAC